CUAAGAAUAUUCCGCAAUGGACGAAAGUCUGACGGAGCGACGCCGCGUGGAUGAAGAAGGCCGAAAGGUUGUAAAAUCCUUUUGCUGAUGAAGAAUAAGUGUGGUAGGGAAUGACCGCAUGAUGACAUUAGUCGGUGAAUAAGCCCCGGCUAACUACGUGCCAGCAGCCGCGGUAACACGUAGGGGGCGAGCGUUGUUCGGAAUUAUUGGGCGUAAAGGGCAUGUAGGCGGUUUUGUAAGCCUGGGGUGAAAUCCUGCAGCUUAACUGUAGAAUUGCAUUGGGUACUGCGAGACUUGAAUCACAGAGGGGAAACUAGAAUUCCAGGUGUAGGGGUGGAAUCUGUAGAUAUCUGGAAGAAUACCGGUGGCGAAGGCGGGUUUCUAGCUGAUGAUUGACGCUGAGGUGCGAAAGUGCGGGGAGCAAACA
This 427-nucleotide ribosomal RNA is filed under the name uncultured prokaryote. RNAcentral describes it as "bacterial SSU rRNA". It matches the Rfam family "Bacterial small subunit ribosomal RNA", at positions 355 to 774 of the family's 1533-position model. The record is from RNAcentral.